RNAcentral lists this ribosomal RNA (433 nucleotides) under uncultured bacterium. Its description in RNAcentral is "partial 16S ribosomal RNA". It matches the Rfam family "Bacterial small subunit ribosomal RNA", at positions 29 to 507 of the family's 1533-position model. The record is from RNAcentral.
AACGAACGCUGGCGGCAUGCCUAACACAUGCAAGUUGAACGAACCCUUCGGGGUUAGUGGCGCACGGGUGCGUAACGCGUGGGAAUCUGCCCUUUGCUUCGGAAUAACUCAGGGAAACUUGUGCUAAUACCGGAUGAUGUCUUCGGACCAAAGAUUUAUCGGCAAGGGAUGAGCCCGCGUAGGAUUAGGUAGUUGGUGGGGUAAAGGCCUACCAAGCCGACGAUCCUUAGCUGGUCUGAGAGGAUGAUCAGCCACACUGGGACUGAGACACGGCCCAGACUCCUACGGGAGGCGGCAGUGGGGAAUAUUGGACAAUGGGCGCAAGCCUGAUCCAGCAAUGCCGCGUGAGUGAUGAAGGCCCUCGGGUCGUAAAGCUCUUUUACCAGGGAUGAUAAUGACAGUACCUGGAGAAUAAGCUCCGGCUAACUCCGUG